Molecule: long non-coding RNA, 917 nt
Organism: Eriocheir sinensis (Chinese mitten crab)
Lineage: Eukaryota; Metazoa; Arthropoda; Malacostraca; Decapoda; Varunidae
Exons: 2
Source: RefSeq, a predicted model, not a curated record
CUCAGGCUGGCCCAUGCUUCAUCACAUUCGUCAUACUCGGAGAUGACAUGCACUUGGCCGUCCCUAUCGCUAUGGAACCGCUCGUCUUCUGCCCCAAGGUGCCAGUGACAGGUGACCCUCGCAAGCUCUGGCUGACCGUCAAUGAGGACAAGCAGGGUGCCAAAGAGGUCAUCGUCCAGUGGGUCACCUGGAUGCCCUCUUUCUAGCCAGGUGUGCGGGGCUAAUCAACACCUACCUCACCUGGACAGCCAAUUAGUUAAAUCCAGGUGUGUGUGUAUAUAGGUGAUUGGUUAUUGGUUCCCUUCCUUCCUGUUCCCUUCAGCAGGUCAGUUUUUUUCCUUCAUCUUCCUAUCAUUGCAAUACUGAAUAACAUUGUAGCUAAAUAGGAAAAGGAAGGCAGGUAGAUGUUAGUUAAAACGUAAAACUUUAAAAAGGAAGUGUAGUUUAAAAGGAAAAGGAAGGCAAGUAGAUGUUGGCUUAAACGUAAAACUUAAAAAAGGAAGUGUAGUUUAAAAGGAAAAGGAAGGCAAGUAGAUGUUGGCUUAAACAUAAAACUUUAAAAAGGAAGUGUAGUUUAAAAGGAAAAGGAAGGCAAGUAGAUGUUGGUUAAAACGUAAAACUUUAAAAAGGAAGUGUAGUUUAAAAGGAAAAGGAAGGCAAGUAGAUGUUGGUUUAAGCGUAAAACUGAAAAACAAAAGCCGGUGUAGUUUAAAAAGGAAAGAAAAGAAGGGAAAGAAGGUUCUAGGAAAAAAAAAUAAGGGUGUAGUAUAUAUAUGGAAAAUCUAUAUAAAAAAAUCACACUAACUUCAAAUAGAAAAAAAGAAAAGAGAUAGUAAUGUUGGAAUAAAGAAAGUGUGAUAAUUGAAAACUUCUUAAAAGGGGAAUUAAUGUAGAAUCAAUAUAGAAAUAGAUUAAUA